Molecule: long non-coding RNA, 740 nt
Organism: Mytilus trossulus (common blue mussel)
Lineage: Eukaryota; Metazoa; Mollusca; Bivalvia; Mytilida; Mytilidae
Exons: 4
Source: RefSeq, a predicted model, not a curated record
CUUUACAAGUGAGGACAGUAUUCCAUUAAAAGGUAGGAAAGCUAGGAAAUCCUUUACAAGUGAGGACAAUUCUCCAUUAAAAGCUAGGAAAUCCUUUACAAGUGAGGAUAGUUCUCCAUUAAAAGCUAGGAAAUAUCUUACAACUGAAGAUAGUUCUCCAUUAAAAGCUAGGAAAUCCUUUACAACUGAGGACAGCUCUCCAUUAAUUGCUAGGAAAUCCUUUACAAGCAAGGACAGUUCUCCAUUAAAAGCAAUACAAGGAAAAAGAAGUGUGGACAAUUCUUCAUUAAAAGCUAGGAAAUCCUUUACAAAUGAAGAUAUAGUUUUCCAUUAAAAGCUAGGAAAUCCCUUACAAGUGAAGAUAGUUCUCCAUUAAAAGCUAGGAAAUCCCUUACAAGUGAAGAUAGUUCUCCAUUAAAAGCUAGGAAAUCCCUUACAAGUGAAGAUAGUUCUCCAUUAAAAGCAAUAAAAGAUGCAAUUACAGGACUUAUUAAUCAUUCAUCGACAAAAGAUAAAAAAUCAGAAAUAGGCAGAAAAAGAUCAGGAAAUAAGAAAAUAGAUGCAGCAGAAUCCAAGAAGUGUACAGUAAGACUGACUGAUAUUGGUACUAUUAAAAACUUGAAAACAUAUGUAAACAAGACAGAGAAAAAAAGAAAAAGAAGGAAGAUAUGUGUAAAGAACUUGUAAAAAAAAAUGUUAAAUGUUAAAGGGGCACUAGCUGUCAAAUGCAUGUUCACCGA